RNAcentral lists this ribosomal RNA (253 nucleotides) under uncultured bacterium. RNAcentral describes it as "partial 16S ribosomal RNA". It matches the Rfam family "Bacterial small subunit ribosomal RNA", at positions 524 to 776 of the family's 1533-position model. The record is from RNAcentral.
UACGUAGGGGGCUAGCGUUGUCCGGAAUCAUUGGGCGUAAAGCGCGCGUAGGCGGCCCGGUAAGUCCGCUGUGAAAGUCAAAGGCUCAACCUUUGAAUGUCAGCGGAUACUGCCGGGCUAGAGUCCGGAAGAGGCGAGUGGAAUUCCUGGUGUAGCGGUGGAAUGCGCAGAUAUCAGGAGGAACACCAACGGCGAAGGCAGCUCGCUGUGACGGUACUGACGCUGAGGCGCGAAAGCGUGGGGAGCGAACAGG